AACGCAUAUUGCGCUCGAGGCUUCGGCCAAGAGCAUGUCUGCCUCAGCGUCGGGUUAAUAUCACAUCCCAUUACCCUUGUGGUAAUAUUCGUGAUGUGGAUCUGGUUGUUCCAGCGUGGUGGUCAAGUCAGGAAUGACUUGGCCGUUCAUGCCUGCUGGAUCAGCUGAAGUGCAGAGGCUAACCAAGGACCCGUUAUGGGCCGCAACUGGGUAGGCAUUUCCAAUGCUAAAGCUUAGUUGUUGGUCUGGGACCCUGUGUUCGGCCCUCAAACAGGAACAAACCCUUAUUUUCUCGACCUGAGCUCAGGCAAGAACACCCGCUGAACUUAA
RNAcentral lists this unclassified non-coding RNA (330 nucleotides) under uncultured soil eukaryote. Its description in RNAcentral is "sequence contains 5.8S rRNA gene, ITS2, 28S rRNA gene". The record is from RNAcentral.